GACGAACGCUGGCGGCGUGCCUAAUACAUGCAAGUAGAACGCUGAAGAGAGGAGCUUGCUCUUCUUGGAUGAGUUGCGAACGGGUGAGUAACGCGUAGGUAACCUGCCUUGUAGCGGGGGAUAACUAUUGGAAACGAUAGCUAAUACCGCAUAACAAUGGAUGACACAUGUCAUUUAUUUGAAAGGGGCAAUUGCUCCACUACAAGAUGGACCUGCGUUGUAUUAGCUAGUAGGUGAGGUAACGGCUCACCUAGGCGACGAUACAUAGCCGACCUGAGAGGGUGAUCGGCCACACUGGGACUGAGACACGGCCCAGACUCCUACGGGAGGCAGCAGUAGGGAAUCUUCGGCAAUGGGGGCAACCCUGACCGAGCAACGCCGCGUGAGUGAAGAAGGUUUUCGGAUCGUAAAGCUCUGUUGUAAGUCAAGAACGAGUGUGAGAGUGGAAAGUUCACACUGUGACGGUAGCUUACCAGAAAGGGACGGCUAACUACGUGCCAGCAGCCGCGGUAAUACGUAGGUCCCGAGCGUUGUCCGGAUUUAUUGGGCGUAAAGCGAGCGCAGGCGGUUUGAUAAGUCUGAAGUUAAAGGCUGUGGCUCAACCAUAGUUUGCUUUGGAAACUGUCAAACUUGAGUGCAGAAGGGGAGAGUGGAAUUCCAUGUGUAGCGGUGAAAUGCGUAGAUAUAUGGAGGAACACCGGUGGCGAAAGCGGCUCUCUGGUCUGUAACUGACGCUGAGGCUCGAAAGCGUGGGGAGCGAACAGGAUUAGAUACCCUGGUAGUCCACGCCGUAAACGAUGAGUGCUAGGUGUUGGAUCCUUUCCGGGAUUCAGUGCCGCAGCCAACGCAUUAAGCACUCCGCCUGGGGAGUACGACCGCAAGGUUGAAACUCAAAGGAAUUGACGGGGGCCCGCACAAGCGGUGGAGCAUGUGGUUUAAUUCGAAGCAACGCGAAGAACCUUACCAGGUCUUGACAUCCCGAUGCUAUUUCUAGAGAUAGAAAGUUACUUCGGUACAUCGGUGACAGGUGGUGCAUGGUUGUCGUCAGCUCGUGUCGUGAGAUGUUGGGUUAAGUCCCGCAACGAGCGCAACCCCUAUUGUUAGUUGCCAUCAUUCAGUUGGGCACUCUAGCGAGACUGCCGGUAAUAAACCGGAGGAAGGUGGGGAUGACGUCAAAUCAUCAUGCCCCUUAUGACCUGGGCUACACACGUGCUACAAUGGUUGGUACAACGAGUUGCAAGUCGGUGACGGCAAGCUAAUCUCUUAAAGCCAAUCUCAGUUCGGAUUGUAGGCUGCAACUCGCCUACAUGAAGUCGGAAUCGCUAGUAAUCGCGGAUCAGCACGCCGCGGUGAAUACGUUCCCGGGCCU
RNAcentral lists this ribosomal RNA (1369 nucleotides) under uncultured bacterium. RNAcentral describes it as "bacterial SSU rRNA". It matches the Rfam family "Bacterial small subunit ribosomal RNA", at positions 28 to 1381 of the family's 1533-position model. The record is from RNAcentral.